CACAAUUUAAACUGAUUUUUUUCCGUGGAGUUUUUGUGGCGUUGAAGCUUUACUUCUUCUCUCAAUUCAAAUUCUUUAGUCCAACAGGCCUGGGUAACCCAUUGAAUCUCCUUCAUUCUGUGGAUAGGAGCUUCUAACUGUUUUCCUUGAACGAGGAAUUCCCAGUAAGCACGAGUCAUAAGCUCCUGUUUAUUACAUCCCUG
Non-coding RNA from Stegodyphus mimosarum, 203 nucleotides. Lineage: Eukaryota; Metazoa; Arthropoda; Arachnida; Araneae; Eresidae. The record is from Rfam.